Molecule: long non-coding RNA, 1140 nt
Organism: Magnolia sinica
Lineage: Eukaryota; Viridiplantae; Streptophyta; Magnoliopsida; Magnoliales; Magnoliaceae
Exons: 3
Source: RefSeq, a predicted model, not a curated record
ACAGAUCCUCUGUUGCAUCUGCCACAAGUUAGGUAUUGAGCGACAAAUGCCCCUACUGUCUAAAUGCAAAAUCCAAAAUGGUUAUAUGACUAUAUGAAUUAAUGGUGCCUUUAAUCUCCAUUGGUUUUUAAGCACUGUUCAUUAGCUCUCCAGGUAAAUCUUGUACACACAGACUUCAAUAUAAAAAAGGAUGCAGGUGGGUUAGCCUUUCGUGCUGUUCAGAGAGAUUUCGAGGUUCAUGUAUCUGAGAACUAUCUCGAAGUUCAUCUCUUUUGGGCUGGAAAGGGAACAUGCUGCAUUCCUCCUAAUAGUGGUUCCUAUGGACCAUCCAUUUCGGGCGUUAGUGUUACUCCAGAUUUUAUACCGAGAGUUAGUAAUCUUCCACCAACAGGCACUUCAACAAAGAACAGGACUGGAUUGCUUGUUGGGAUAUUAGUUGCUGUUGGAGUAAUGAUCCUUGUAACCAUUUUCGCCGUCUAUAUUUUAAUACGAAGAAGGAAAAGGUUGGAGUUGCUUCCAGAAUCAGAGCGGUUCAGCAGUUGGGGUUCUUAAUUAGGUUUUUAUGUAUAUUAGUGACUGGGCGCCAGGAGUUACUUGUUUUCCUGGCGCUGGGUUUUCUGGAUGGUUGGUUUUUUUUUUUUUUUUUUUCCUUUCCGUUGUUUGUUUGCUUUGGCCUUUUUCCUUUUCUUCUAUUGGCCUAUAGCCCUAAUAAAAGUGCGUCAUCUUUUAAAAAAAGAAAAAAAGAAAGAAGGUUGGGCAAGGACGAAGAUUAGCAAAGGGUUUAACUCAGACAUGCCAAAAUCAUUUGGGAUGUUUGGAUGACUACCAAAUUGAAUUACAAUUAUUAGUCUAAUAAAGUGCAAUUAGCCAGAUUUUUGCACGCUGAGAAACGCAACUGCAAUUUGAGGGACUUCCUCAGAGGAAGCCAAGGACAGUAUCCUUGAGCCGUUUGUACAGUGGGACCCGUGUGACAGUGAUCAAGAGUGUUGAUCUCAUGGGCUCCAAUUUGGACGAGUGAUUCCCCAAUAAUUUCCGUCUGGAAGAUUGUAGCAUUCAAUCUUUUGCCUCAUGUCAUUUUAAUGUGGACUGCUGCUGUAUUUCUUCUCUGCUGCCCAUUCUCUCAGCGAUUUUUGUGAGUCA